RNA transcript from Ahaetulla prasina, 2315 nucleotides. It is a transcript of the gene named ribonucleic acid export 1, with no coding region annotated. NCBI's taxonomy places the organism in Eukaryota, Metazoa, Chordata, Lepidosauria, Squamata, Colubridae. The transcript is spliced from 14 exons. The record is from RefSeq and is a predicted model, not a curated record.
CAGUUUGCUGUUGACGAAUGAGAAACAGACCUGGCUUAGCGCAAGCGCAGUGAAGAAGGGCCUAGGCUUCGCGGACAAUCCCAACCGUCCUGACCGGCAUGCUGGCUUGAGGGAAGUGGAGGAUUGAUAGGACCAAGAUGAGUUUGUUUGGGUCAACAUCAGGAUUUGGAACUGGAGGCACCAGCAUGUUUGGCAGCACUGCUACAGAUAAUCACAACCCAAUGAAGGAUAUUGAAGUUACUUCCCCACCUGAUGACAGCAUAGGUUGUUUGGCUUUCAGCCCACCAACAUUGCCGGGUAAUUUCCUUAUUGCAGGAUCAUGGGCAAAUGAUGUUCGUUGUUGGGAAAUCCAAGAUAACGGGCAAACUAUUCCAAAAGCCCAACAGAUGCAUACAGGACCAGUACUAGAUGUUUGCUGGAGUGAUGACGGAAGUAAAGUGUUCACAGGGUCCUGUGAUAAAACUGCCAAAAUGUGGGAUCUUAACAGUAAUCAAGCAAUACAAAUCGCACAGCAUGAAGCUCCUGUAAAGACCGUCCAUUGGAUUAAAGCACCAAAUUAUAGUUGUGUGAUGACUGGAAGUUGGGAUAAAACAUUGAAGUUUUGGGAUACACGAACCCCCACUCCAAUGAUGACGCUGCAGUUGCCUGAACGAUGCUAUUGUGCCGAUGUGAUAUAUCCCAUGGCUGUUGUUGCUACUGCAGAAAGGGGCUUGAUAGUUUACCAGUUAGAGAAUCAGCCUUCUGAAUUUAGAAGGAUAGACUCUCCACUUAAACAUCAGCAUCGCUGUGUGGCUAUUUUCAAAGACAAAGUGAACAAACCAACAGGCUUUGCCCUUGGAAGCAUCGAAGGAAGAGUUGCCAUUCAUUAUAUUAACCCACCAAAUCCCGCCAAAGACAACUUUACCUUCAAAUGCCAUCGAUCCAAUGGUACAAACACAUCUGCGCCUCAGGAUAUCUAUGCAGUAAAUGGGAUUGCCUUCCAUCCUGCCCAUGGCACUCUUGCAACUGUGGGGUCUGAUGGCAGAUUCAGUUUCUGGGAUAAAGAUGCGCGGACAAAGCUAAAAACAUCUGAACAGCUAGACCAGCCAAUAUCUGCUUGCUGCUUCAACCAUAAUGGCAACAUAUUUGCAUAUGCUUCUAGUUAUGACUGGUCAAAGGGGCAUGAAUUCUAUAAUCCCCAAAAGAAAAACUAUAUCUUUCUGCGCAAUGCGGUCGAAGAACUAAAACCUAGAAAUAAAAAGUACUCAGGUUCAUGGAAAAGGUGCUGAAGCAUGUGCUUAGAGAUCAGUUAUUUGUGUGCAUCUCAGAAUAAUAGAUCUUCAAAAGACCCCAAAAUUUUAGUUUGCACCGCUUGCUGGUGCCACAAGAACUUCAACUGAGGAAGGAAUUUCUACCCGAAAUCUAACUAACUGUGCCUGUCAGUUGGGCUUCUUCCUUGUGCUUUUAAUGAGGCCAAAAUAAGAGAAAGAAAAAGAAAGAAAGAAAUUAUCAGUUGUCUUUUCCUUUCCCCUGUGUUUAAAAAUGUGUUGCUUUAUGGGAACUGCAUUCACUUUAAGUGUUCUACAGUGGCCAUUUGUUCCUGCCUGUACUUAAAGGCUGUGGGCCUAUAACCUGUGGCUUAAUUUCAAGUAAUCCUGCAUAGGAUUGCACUUUGUAUGACAACAGCACUGCCUCCCUCCUCCAACAGGACUUGGAACAGAAUUGUGGAAUAUUUAACAGUGAGAAAACAAACAGCAGCUUAAAAUAAUUUAAGAUCUCUCACAGUAUAUGAACAGUUAUAAAAAUCAUGAACAAAAUAUUUUCAGUUCUUUUCACUACGGUUGGGAUUCUUACAUUUUUGCCCCAACUUGGUUCUGCUGCCAUCUUUAUAAGUUUUUGAAAAAUUUACCCUGAUUUUUUUUUCCAGUAGAAAGUUAAGCAAGUGUCCUUAGCAACAAUCUGGUUGUUAUUAUUGAUUUUUUUCAGCACAAUGUUUUCAGUGGUGAUUUUAAGAAAUCAGUUUUCACAUUGAUGGUCCAGUAAACUCCAUUCAGGAAAUCUAUCGAAAAGUCAACUAUUAUUUAUGUGUUGGCAUUGAACUUCAUUUAUUUUCUAAGAACAGACUUCAUAGCCUGGUUGAAUUAACCCUUAAACUUCAGGCCCCAGGUUUUCUCAAGAUGCUUCUUUUCAACAGUAAUGAUGCUACUGAAUAAAGCAGCAUUUUUUCUAUGUGAGUUAUGUACCUGCUGGAAUUUGAACUGUUUACUAAGAGGCUCAUGAAGCUGUCUAACAAUUUGCAGAUGGUUCAUGAUUUAAAAUAAAAGUUGGGUAUCUUG